RNAcentral lists this ribosomal RNA (461 nucleotides) under uncultured bacterium. RNAcentral describes it as "partial 16S ribosomal RNA". It matches the Rfam family "Bacterial small subunit ribosomal RNA", at positions 338 to 795 of the family's 1533-position model. The record is from RNAcentral.
CCUACGGGAGGCUGCAGUGAGGAAUAUUGGUCAAUGGACGAGAGUCUGAACCAGCCAAGUAGCGUGAAGGAUGACUGCCCUAUGGGUUGUAAACUUCUUUUAUAUGGGAAUAAAACGUUCCACGUGUGGGAUUUUGUAUGUACCAUAUGAAUAAGGAUCGGCUAACUCCGUGCCAGCAGCCGCGGUAAUACGGAGGAUCCGAGCGUUAUCCGGAUUUAUUGGGUUUAAAGGGAGCGUAGGUGGAUUGUUAAGUGAGUUGUGAAAGUUUGCGGCUCAACCGUAAAAUUGCAGUUGAAACUGGCAGUCUUGAGUACAGUAGAGGUGAGCGGAAUUCGUGGUGUAGCGGUGAAAUGCUUAGAUAUCACGCAGAACUCCGAUUGCGAAGGCAGUUCACUGGACUGCAACUGACACUGAGGCUCGAAAGUGUGGGUAUCAAACAGGAUUAGAUACCCCGGGUAGUC